GUGASGGACGAAAGCUGGGGGCACGAACCGGAUUAGAUACCCGGGUAGUCCCMGCCGUAAACGAUGCUCSCUAGGUGUCAGGCAUGGMGCGACCGUGUCUGGUGCCGCAGGGAAGCCGUGAAGCGAGCCACCUGGGAAGUACGGCCGCAAGGSUGAAACUUAAAGGAAUUGGYGGGGGAGCACMACAACGGGUGGAGCCUGCGGUUUAAUUGGACUCAACGCCGGAMAACUCACCGGGGACGACAGCWAAAUGUAGGCCAGGCUGAAGACCUUGCCUGAAUCKCUGAGAGGAGGUGCAUGGCCGUCGCCAGUUCGUACUGUGAAGCAUCCUGUUAAGUCAGGCAACGAGCGAGACCCA
This 358-nucleotide ribosomal RNA is filed under the name Methanosarcina sp. enrichment culture clone BER2_CD. Its description in RNAcentral is "partial 16S ribosomal RNA". It matches the Rfam family "Archaeal small subunit ribosomal RNA", at positions 697 to 1054 of the family's 1478-position model. The record is from RNAcentral. Lineage: Archaea; Methanobacteriati; Methanobacteriota; Methanomicrobia; Methanosarcinales; Methanosarcinaceae.